GACGAACGCUGGCGGCGUGCUUAACACAUGCAAGUCGAACGGAAAGGCCCUGCUUUUGUGGGGUGCUCGAGUGGCGAACGGGUGAGUAACACGUGAGUAACCUGCCCUUGACUUUGGGAUAACUUCAGGAAACUGGGGCUAAUACCGGAUAGGAGCUCCUGCUGCAUGGUGGGGGUUGGAAAGUUUCGGCGGUUGGGGAUGGACUCGCGGCUUAUCAGCUUGUUGGUGGGGUAGUGGCUUACCAAGGCUUUGACGGGUAGCCGGCCUGAGAGGGUGACCGGCCACGUUGGGACUGAGAUACCGCCCGAUCUCCUACUGGGAGCAGCAUUAAGGGAUGGUGCACGAGAAGCGGAAGCCUGAUGCAUCGACCCCACGUGCCGAAUAGCGGCCUUCGGGUUGUAAACCGCUUUCGCCUGUUACUAACCGUAAUUGACAGUAAUAGGUAAAGAGCCACCUGCUAACUACGUG
This 468-nucleotide ribosomal RNA is filed under the name uncultured bacterium. Its description in RNAcentral is "partial 16S ribosomal RNA". It matches the Rfam family "Bacterial small subunit ribosomal RNA", at positions 28 to 507 of the family's 1533-position model. The record is from RNAcentral.